AGAGUUUGAUCCUGGCUCAGAUUGAACGCUGGCGGCAGGCCUAACACAUGCAAGUCGAGCGGAAACGACACUACAAUCCUUCGGGUGCGUUAAUGGGCGUCGAGCGGCGGACGGGUGAGUAAUGCCUAGGAAAUUGCCUUGAUGUGGGGGAUAACCAUUGGAAACGAUGGCUAAUACCGCAUAAUGCCUACGGGCCAAAGAGGGGGAUCUUCGGACCUCUCGCGUCAAGAUAUGCCUAGGUGGGAUUAGCUAGUUGGUGAGGUAAUGGCUCACCAAGGCGACGAUCCCUAGCUGGUCUGAGAGGAUGAUCAGCCACACUGGAACUGAGACACGGUCCAGACUCCUACGGGAGGCAGCAGUGGGGAAUAUUGCACAAUGGGCGAAAGCCUGAUGCAGCCAUGCCGCGUGUAUGAAGAAGGCCUUCGGGUUGUAAAGUACUUUCAGUUGUGAGGAAGGGGGUAGCGUUAAUAGCGCUAUCUCUUGACGUUAGCAACAGAAGAAGCACCGGCUAACUCCGUGCCAGCAGCCGCGGUAAUACGGAGGGUGCGAGCGUUAAUCGGAAUUACCGGGCGUAAAGCGCACGCA
Molecule: ribosomal RNA, 585 nt
Filed under: uncultured Vibrio sp.
Lineage: Bacteria; Pseudomonadati; Pseudomonadota; Gammaproteobacteria; Vibrionales; Vibrionaceae
Description: bacterial SSU rRNA
Rfam family: Bacterial small subunit ribosomal RNA
Source: RNAcentral